GUCUCGGUAGUCUAACCGUAAGAACACCCGCUCGGCAAGCGAGAGAUUUGGGUUCGAUUCCUGACCGAGGUA
Molecule: transfer RNA, 72 nt
Filed under: Mycetomoellerius zeteki
Lineage: Eukaryota; Metazoa; Arthropoda; Insecta; Hymenoptera; Formicidae
Description: Trachymyrmex zeteki tRNA
Rfam family: tRNA
About the family: Transfer RNA (tRNA) molecules are approximately 80 nucleotides in length.
Source: Rfam by way of RNAcentral